GCCGGGAUAGCUCAGUUGGUAGAGCAGCGCAUUCGUAAUGCGCGGGUCGUGGGUUCGAUUCCCUCUCCCGGCU
RNAcentral lists this transfer RNA (73 nucleotides) under Candidatus Margulisiibacteriota bacterium. RNAcentral describes it as "tRNA-Thr". It matches the Rfam family "tRNA". From Rfam's summary of the family: Transfer RNA (tRNA) molecules are approximately 80 nucleotides in length. Their secondary structure includes four short double-helical elements and three loops (D, anti-codon, and T loops). Lineage: Bacteria; Bacillati; Candidatus Margulisiibacteriota. The record is from RNAcentral.